This is a ribosomal RNA of Musa acuminata AAA Group (dessert banana), 116 nucleotides long. Lineage: Eukaryota; Viridiplantae; Streptophyta; Magnoliopsida; Zingiberales; Musaceae. The record is from RefSeq and is a predicted model, not a curated record.
GGGUGCGAUCAUACCAGCACUAAAGCUUCGGAUCCCGUUAGAACUCCGAAGAUAAGUGUGCUUGGGCGAGAGUACUUGGAUGGGUGACCCCCUGGGAAGUCCUUGUGUUGCACUCC